This 72-nucleotide transfer RNA is filed under the name Camelus bactrianus (Bactrian camel). It matches the Rfam family "tRNA". Rfam says of the family: Transfer RNA (tRNA) molecules are approximately 80 nucleotides in length. Lineage: Eukaryota; Metazoa; Chordata; Mammalia; Artiodactyla; Camelidae. RNAcentral also lists the same sequence under 3 other names. The record is from Rfam by way of RNAcentral.
GAAGAUAUAGCUCAGUGGUGGAGCGCGUGCUUAGCAUGCACGAGGUCCUAGGUUCAGUCCCCAGUACCUCCA